RNAcentral lists this transfer RNA (90 nucleotides) under Terriglobia bacterium. RNAcentral describes it as "tRNA-Ser". It matches the Rfam family "tRNA". Rfam says of the family: Transfer RNA (tRNA) molecules are approximately 80 nucleotides in length. Their secondary structure includes four short double-helical elements and three loops (D, anti-codon, and T loops). The record is from RNAcentral. Lineage: Bacteria; Pseudomonadati; Acidobacteriota; Terriglobia.
GGAGGCGUGGCCGAGUGGUUGAAGGCGGCGGUCUUGAAAACCGUUAUCCGUUUACGCGGAUCGUGGGUUCGAAUCCUACCGCCUCCGCCA